Molecule: ribosomal RNA, 253 nt
Filed under: uncultured bacterium
Lineage: Bacteria
Description: partial 16S ribosomal RNA
Rfam family: Bacterial small subunit ribosomal RNA
Source: RNAcentral
UACGUAGGGGGCAAGCGUUGUCCGGAUUCAUUGGGCGUAAAGAGCGUGUAGGCGGCCAGGUAGGUCGGUUGUGAAAACUGGAGGCUCAACCUUCAGAGGUCGACCGAAACCAUCUGGCUAGAGUCCGGGAGAGGAGAGUGGAAUUCCUGGUGUAGCGGUGAAAUGCGCAGAUAUCAGGAAGAACACCCGUGGCGAAAGCGGCUCUCUGGAACGGUACUGACGCUGAGACGCGAAAGCGUGGGGUGCGAACAGG